GUGCUUGCUUUGACAUCACAUAAAACCAGAAUGAUACAGAGUUUAGCAUGGCCUUUGUGCAAGGAUGACAAGCAAAUUUGCGAAGCGUUCUGUAUUUUU
Molecule: small nuclear RNA, 99 nt
Organism: Panthera leo (lion)
Lineage: Eukaryota; Metazoa; Chordata; Mammalia; Carnivora; Felidae
Source: Ensembl